RNAcentral lists this ribosomal RNA (495 nucleotides) under uncultured bacterium. RNAcentral's name for it is "partial 16S ribosomal RNA". It matches the Rfam family "Bacterial small subunit ribosomal RNA", at positions 28 to 507 of the family's 1533-position model. The record is from RNAcentral.
GACGAACGCUGGCGGCGUGCCUAAUACAUGCAAGUAGAACGCUGAAGGAGGAGCUUGCUUCUCUGGAUGAGUUGCGAACGGGUGAGUAACGCGUAGGUAACCUGCCUGGUAGCGGGGGAUAACUAUUGGAAACGAUAGCUAAUACCGCAUAAUAGUAGAUGUUGCAUGACAUUUGCUUAAAAGGUGCAAUUGCAUCACUACCAGAUGGACCUGCGUUGUAUUAGCCAGUUGGUGGGGUAACGGCUCACCAAGGCGACGAUACAUAGCCGACCUGAGAGGGUGAUCGGCCACACUGGGACUGAGACACGGCCCAGACUCCUACGGGAGGCAGCAGUAGGGAAUCUUCGGCAAUGGACGGAAGUCUGACCGAGCAACGCCGCGUGAGUGAAGAAGGUUUUCGGAUCGUAAAGCUCUGUUGUAAGAGAAGAACGAGUGUGAGAGUGGAAAGUUCACACUGUGACGGUAUCUUACCAGAAAGGGACGGCUAACUACGUG